GAUGAACGCUGGCGGCGUGCCUAAUACAUGCAAGUCGAGCGAACAGACGAGGAGCUUGCUCCUCUGACGUUAGCGGCGGACGGGUGAGUAACACGUGGAUAACCUACCUAUAAGACUGGGAUAACUUCGGGAAACCGGAGCUAAUACCGGAUAAUAUAUUGAACCGCAUGGUUCAAUAGUGAAAGACGGUUUUGCUGUCACUUAUAGAUGGAUCCGCGCCGCAUUAGCUAGUUGGUAAGGUAACGGCUUACCAAGGCGACGAUGCGUAGCCGACCUGAGAGGGUGAUCGGCCACACUGGAACUGAGACAUGGUCCAGACUCCUACGGGAGGCAGCAGUAGGGAAUCUUCCGCAAUGGGUGAAAGCCUGACGGAGCAACGCCGCGUGAGUGAUGAAGGUCUUCGGAUCGUAAAACUCUGUUAUUAGGGAAGAACAAAUGUGUAAGUAACUAUGCACGUCUUGACGGUACCUAAUCAGAAAGCCACGGCUAACUACGUG
This 497-nucleotide ribosomal RNA is filed under the name uncultured bacterium. Its description in RNAcentral is "partial 16S ribosomal RNA". It matches the Rfam family "Bacterial small subunit ribosomal RNA", at positions 28 to 507 of the family's 1533-position model. The record is from RNAcentral.